Molecule: ribosomal RNA, 253 nt
Filed under: uncultured bacterium
Lineage: Bacteria
Description: partial 16S ribosomal RNA
Rfam family: Bacterial small subunit ribosomal RNA
Source: RNAcentral
UACGUAGGGGGCAAGCGUUGUCCGGAAUCAUUGGGCGUAAAGCGCGUGUAGGCGGCUCGAUAAGUCUGCUGUGAAAGUCCAGGGCUCAACCCUGGGAUGCCGGUGGAUACUGUCGAGCUCGAGUCCGGAAGAGGCGAGUGGAAUUCCUGGUGUAGCGGUGAAAUGCGCAGAUAUCAGGAGGAACACCGAUGGCGAAGGCAGCUCGCUGGGACGGUACUGACGCUGAGACGCGAAAGCGUGGGGAGCAAACAGG